This 963-nucleotide ribosomal RNA is filed under the name Triticum aestivum (bread wheat). RNAcentral describes it as "partial small subunit ribosomal RNA". The record is from RNAcentral. Lineage: Eukaryota; Viridiplantae; Streptophyta; Magnoliopsida; Poales; Poaceae.
AUGGCCGCGUCGGCGUCGGCGGCGGGCGGCGAGCCCCAGAAGCAGUUCCUAUCCAUCAUCCGCGACUUCGCGGCCGAGAAGUCCCACGGCGAGCGCACGGUGUCGGGCCUGAAGCGCCGCCUCGACGACGUGGUCUCAGCGUCCGACGCGGCCACGGCGGAGCUCGAGGCCGCGAAGCGCGCGCGGGAGGCGGCAGAGACGGAGCUGCGCGGGAGCGAGGUGCAGGCAUCCAUCGCAGACGCGUCGAUACAGGCGCUCGAGGCGACGAUCUCUCGUCUCCAGGAGGAGAUCGCGAAGCUGGGCUCUGAACUGGAGGCGCUUAAGAGCACAGAGGACAUCGAGAGAGAGGAGUUCUUGAGACAGAUGCUUGAAAUGAAUGCAAGGAUAAGGCAGUUUCAACAGAAGGCUUCUGCAGAAUUAGCAGAGAGGUGCUCUGGACCGCCAUCAGCAGAUGGUAAGCAAGGCAAGUCAGCAGAGGGUCAAAAUGUGAGCGACAUGAAUGAAACUAUGGACUCAGAAGGUAUGUUGACAGAUUCGGUUGAUCAGAUGAACAAGAUGAAUGCUGAGGUGCAUGUAUUGGAGGAAGAGUAUCAAAAGGACCUGCUUGAACUUGAAAAGCUGCGUCAUGAACUGGCUGAUGUGCGAGCAAAGAGAGCUCUUAUGGAGGCUGUGAUGAAAGAGACGAAGAAGUUGCAGGAGCUCGGAGGAUAUCCUUUUCACCUGUCUAAAAAUCACUUUGUUUGCGCAACUAUUAUUUAUAUGUACAUAUGUUCCUGCCGCUUCUUCAUCCGUGUGUGUUUGCGGAAGCUUUCCUUGACUCGACGCAAGCGCGUGUCCGAACUGGAGAAUCUGCACCAUUCACUCGCUGAGGAGCUCCAGAAGCGCUACAUAUGCCCUGGCUGCGGAACCAACAACAUGGCGCCGGAGGAGGAGGCAGCACCGGCAGCGGCGGUGGCAAACUAA